AUACGAAGGGGGCUAGCGUUGUUCGGAAUCACUGGGCGUAAAGCGCGCGCAGGCGGCUAUUUAAGUUGGAUGUGAAAGCCUACGGCUCAACCGUAGAACUGCAUCCAAAACUAUUUAGCUAGAGUGUGGGAGAGGAAGAUGGAAUUAGUUGUGUAGGGGUAAAAUCCGUAGAGAUAACUAGGAAUACCAAAAGCGAAGGCAAUCUUCUGGAACACUACUGACGCUGAGGCGCGAAAGCGUGGGGAGCAAACAGGAUUAGAAACCCUAGUAGUCC
Molecule: ribosomal RNA, 274 nt
Filed under: uncultured bacterium
Lineage: Bacteria
Description: partial 16S ribosomal RNA
Rfam family: Bacterial small subunit ribosomal RNA
Source: RNAcentral